AUGCUAUUUGACCUUCAAGGGGAGCCAUUUUGUUGCCAGAUGCUGGACCAGGUGCUAAGACCUGUGAUGAGAAAACCGGAUGGUCCUUGCCCUGCCUUCCUGGAACAGAUGAAUAUUAAAGAAAUAAUCCCAGAAAUAUAUCGGAAUGGUCUGAGGACCGGCCAGCACGCCCUCCGAUUUUGCAACAGGACGAGCACCUACGCGUAAGUAGAAAGUGGGCACAACUGCAAACGCGUAACAAACGUGCAGAAACAAAGAAGUACCUGCGUUUCUAAUCUUUUCCCAGUCGCUUCUUUUAUGAAGAGGACAGUCACAUCUGCAGUAACUUCCCUCAGUUAUGAUAUCUGGUGCAACUGGGGCAAAUAGACACACGUAACUAGUUGGCUGAAAAAGCGGACUAGGGUGGGGCAUCAAAAGAGGUUGAACAUACGACCCCUUAAAUAUUUUGAGUUUAAAAUACACAAAUGCACACUCACAUGCUGGUCGGUAAAGAUGAGCGCCUGUUCUUGGGAGUAUGGACCCUCCGAUGGGAAAUCUACAGCUGUCUUCUUGAGUCCCUGUCUCUUUAAAGAAGAAAGAGAACUUAAGACUUGAGCGAAGCAAUCCAAGUGUGGAAUUUUUACUGGAUCCCCCCAAAUCCUAGUUGUCCUGUUCACACCUACUUUGACAGCAGGUGUGGUUUGUUUUUUUGUGGGUUUUUUUUUGAUGUUUAUUUUUGAGAGAGAGAGCAAGCACGAGCAGGGGGAGGGCGCAGAGAGAGGAAGGCACAGAAUCCAAAGUUGUCUCCAGGCUCUCAGCUGUCGGCACAAACCGGCUCAAACCAAGGAACCGUGAGAUCAUGACCUGAGCUGAGGUCAGACGCUUAACUGACUGAGCCACCCAGGUGCCCUACAGGGUUUUUCAGUGGCUCACCUUUGGUUAUAUAUGUUAUAUAUAUACGUUAACUAAAAAUUGUGAUAACUGUUGCGCUAGGAGAGACAAAAAAAAGAAUUCCUGGGAAAGCAUCACCUUGGAUUUCCUGGGAAUUCUUUUUUUGUUCCUCAUAGUGCAAUAGUUUUCAUGAUGUUUAGUUAGCGUAUAUUAUUUUACAACGCUACCCACAGUGGCAUAAACAGACUUGUGAAGAAACACACACCUAACUUUCGGAGAAUCCAAGUGGGGUGGAGGGAGGCGCAAACUGGCACUCGAGGAAGUGGCCGACUGUGGCACGUGGGCUCAGCGGCGGCGGCCAUCAGUUUUACGGAGGGGAGUGGAGGUGAUUAAUCCAUCAAAUCGCUCAAGAGGAAGUCAGACAAAAAUGCUUUGUCUUUAGAGCCUUCAUGCUUAAUAUAAACAAUAUGUAAAUAUAUAUGGACACACAUACAUAUGUGUGUGUGUGAAAUAUUCUUUUACUUGUGUUCUGCCAUGGUUAUGAUCACAACCAGGAGUGGGUUUUAAGUUUUAUCAAAUGUCUUUCUGGCACCCGUUAAGACAACUCUGAUUUUCCUCAUUUGACUAAUAAAUAUGAAAAAGUACAUUAAGAAGAACUGAAA
This 1532-nucleotide long non-coding RNA is filed under the name Felis catus (domestic cat). RNAcentral describes it as "lncRNA (ENSFCAG00000050597.1)". Lineage: Eukaryota; Metazoa; Chordata; Mammalia; Carnivora; Felidae. The record is from RNAcentral.